UCCUUUAUUUGUCUGGAUCGGAUUG
RNAcentral lists this microRNA (25 nucleotides) under Pristionchus pacificus. Its description in RNAcentral is "ppc-miR-8250d-5p". Lineage: Eukaryota; Metazoa; Nematoda; Chromadorea; Rhabditida; Neodiplogasteridae. The record is from miRBase by way of RNAcentral.